GGUUUGCUUCUUGAAUUCUGUGAUGUUAUACUAUUUAGUUCAGAAGAAUGAAUUCCAGUUAGAUCUUCUUUGCAAAAGGCAGAUCCCAGGCCUCCUGAAUCCAGGACCUGAGACGUGGAAAAGGAUGCUUUUCACAAGCUUGCCAGGGAUCUUUUGAAUUCCACCAAAUCUUAUUUUGCAAAGUUUCAAACAUAUUGAAAAUUUGUGCAACAAACCCAGGUUUGAAAAUUUGAAAGAAUAGUAAUAGAAACCCCUGUUACACCCCCCACCUAACUCUAAUGAUUGCUAACAUUUUGCUCCCUUUACUUGCUCUCUCUCACUCUUUCGCUCUCUCUCAUUGUCUCUCUUUCUGUCUCUCUCUCCUGCCCUCCCUCCCUAGAGUUUCUGAAGAUAAAUUCCACCAAUCUUGAAACAAAUCCUGUCACGUUAUUGUUAAUGACUUCAGCUCUUAUUGCUUAAGACUAGAAUAUUGUGCUUUAUGAUCACAAUAUUAUUAACACAGCCACAAAAUUUAACAUUGAUCCAAAACUAUUAUCUAAUAUGAUAUCUGUAGUUGACUGUUACACUAAAGGCCACUAUGUACCUCUGAGACAUCAACAAAGGAAUCUGCCGCAAGCAGAGACUGGAUGAGCACGUGCCUAUUGGGGCCAUCCUCCAGGAGGGCUGCUGGGACCUCCGAGGAAGCUGAUCCGGCGCCUUGAAAAUGAAGAGCCUAAGAAGAGAGGAUUCCAGCCAUCGAGUCGUUCCCUCUAGCUGCAUGAGUGAGUGCUAACAAUAUCAAUGGAAGAACCUCCCAACCAACCCACAGAACCCUGAGAAACAAGAAAUUAUUUUUUAAGCCACUGAAUUUGGAUUUGUUGUACAACAAUAGCUAUCUGACAUUUAGUCUGUAUUUAAACUGUCCCAGUUGUCAAAAUAAUGUCCCUCUAUAGUUUCUUACCACUUUUUUGAUUCACAUCCAUUCAAGACUUACACAUUGAAUUUGGUUAUCAAGUUUCUUUAUUGCCUUUUUAUUUAUACCUGUCCCCUGUCCUACCUGUUUUUAUCGUUAAUGACAUUGACUUUUUAAUUAAAGAAUCCAGGCCUGUUGUCUUAUAAAUUAGUCUGUAAUUUUGAUUUUUCUGAUUAUUUACUUGUGAAUAGCUUCCGUUUAGAUAUUUUCAUCAGAAUACAAUAGGUAAUGUUGUUAACAUCACAUUGUAUCAUAUCCAGAGAGAUGCUAAGUUUGAUAAUUUGGUUAAGAUGUCUCCUGUCAUGUUCAUACAUUAUUAAAAAAUACUUUGAGAGUUUGUUGAUAUCCUGUUCAUCCAUUGGCUAUAGAACCCAGUGAUGAUCUCUGCCUGAAUAAAUUAUAUCAGUGAUUGCAAAAAAGUGA
Long non-coding RNA from Herpailurus yagouaroundi (jaguarundi), 1375 nucleotides. RefSeq lists it as uncharacterized. The transcript is spliced from 2 exons. NCBI's taxonomy places the organism in Eukaryota, Metazoa, Chordata, Mammalia, Carnivora, Felidae. The record is from RefSeq and is a predicted model, not a curated record.